RNAcentral lists this unclassified non-coding RNA (142 nucleotides) under soil metagenome. Its description in RNAcentral is "partial internal transcribed spacer 1". The record is from RNAcentral.
UAAUAAGUGUUUAUGGCACUUCUUAAAUCCAUAUCCACCUUGUGUGCAAUGUCAGGCCGAUCUUCUUUAUGAGAUCGACCAAACAUCAACUUAUUUUUUAACUCUUCUGUCUGAAAACUAUUAUGAAUAAACAAUUCAAAUA